This is a long non-coding RNA of Papaver somniferum (opium poppy), 1489 nucleotides long. RefSeq lists it as uncharacterized. The transcript is spliced from 5 exons. Lineage: Eukaryota; Viridiplantae; Streptophyta; Magnoliopsida; Ranunculales; Papaveraceae. The record is from RefSeq and is a predicted model, not a curated record.
GAGUCUUUUUCCAUCAAUCUAAUCUUAAAGACCUAAACCCUCUGUUCUUUCUCAUCUUUCGUCCGCCUGCCUCUUCUGAAAUCAAAAUUCACUCUCACAAAUCAAAUCUAAAUCUUAGCACCAUCUCAAAAUCAAAACCCACGUACCAGCGGAAAUCAGAAGCAAACCCUUUUUUGUAACCCUAGAUUAAGUUACUUAGCUCCUGAAACCCUAGGGUUUCAAUGGGAAUGAGAACCUAUCGAUCUGAAGAUUCAAGAUAUGGAUUCAUCAUCGACGACAUCCACUGUGUGAAAAUCUGGGCACUCGAUCAAAUAAGAGAAAUAUGCUUCCCGGAGAGCAAUUCUCCCUGUGCUUUAAGCGGGAGAGGAUGAAAGAUUCGCCAGCGAACGGAAAAAGUAUCUAAAGGAAAAGACAGAAUCAUGAAGGAUGUUCCAGGCUGGUAUUGAGAACCAGAACCAAUACUAAAGAUUCCUUUAACAUUUAAGAUUUAUUUCUUGUUGGCAUGUGAAGAUGACGAAAUGGACUGGGUUUGAGUACUCUGAGGAGGAACCAGAGGAGAAAGAUAUUGAUAUUGAGAACGAGAACCAAUACUACAACUCUGAACGUACUUCCUACUAAUGUCUAACUGUUAGAUUUAUGGUUCAAUGCCCACUUUUUAUUUCGUAGCUGGGAAAAAUUUUAAUCUGAUGGUGUUAUUGAGAGGCGUAGAUUAUUGAUUUAUCGCGGAUACUGCUUGAAGUUUCAAUACAAAAAAAAUUGUACAGUUAAUUUCCAGAAUUUUUUUGCUGGUACCUUUGGAACUAUUUUCCUAGGAGCUGAAGUAGAAUGUUGUCCUUUGAAUAUUAUUCUUUUUAUUGUUUUGAAACUCACCCUUCCUAAGUGAUUAUUUAUAUUAUUGUAGGUUUCGUCGAUCCCAAAUGAGCAUUUGAAGGUUUUUCGGAAGUGGUGCGCGCCUAUUGAACUGGAUAUGGCAGAAGGAAAUUCAAUUGUAAAGUCUGUCAAAGAGAAACACUUGGUGACAUCUUCUAGCAAGAUUUUAUGGGACUGCCAUGCACUUCGACUGAUGUUCUCUGUCCAUAGUGGUUCUCAUUGGAUGGGGAAGAGCUUUGAAGUGAGUUUAUGCAUCUAGGCUGUGUAAUGAAGAUUCUCAACGAUGACCCAAUGGCAGAACCAAUCAGUUAGCAAUGUACAAGGAAGGCGCAGUCUUUGUGGGUUAAAUGUUAAACUAUAUGAAGAUUGUAUAUAAAUGUUAUAUCUUAGCAGCAUUCCAAGUUACUCCUCAACCUGGAGUUCCACCCGAGGAAGCAGGGAGCACGGUAGCUGCCGAAUCUUCGGUUUCCUUAUUAAUUAUGAUCUCAUUUUUAUUGUCAGUCGAUUGAAUUUAGUUUUAAUGUUCCAUAUGUGAUUUUGGGUUGCUAGAAUUUAAUUUUAAAAUUGUAGGCAGAGAUUCUAUUUUUAUGAAUAUUAUUUUGGAUAUUCAAAAGUUAAU